CCGGAGAAUGUUAUCACGGGAGACACACGGCGGGUGCUAACGUCCGUCGUGAAGAGGGAAACAACCCAGACCGCCAGCUAAGGUCCCAAAGUCAUGGUUAAGUGGGAAACGAUGUGGGAAGGCCCAGACAGCCAGGAUGUUGGCUUAGAAGCAGCCAUCAUUUAAAGAAAGCGUAAUAGCUCACUGGUCGAGUCGGCCUGCGCGGAAGAUGUAACGGGGCUAAACCAUGCACCGAAGCUGCGGCAGCGAACGUAUCACUUAAAGCGAUUCAGCGGGUUACGAUUGACGGAGCGAAGCGACGUCAAAGCGUAUACAAAGUCGAGUCGGUUUAAGGAUACGUUCGUUGGGUAGGGGAGCGUUCUGUAAGCCUGYGAAGGUGKSYYGUGAGGSWUGCUGGAGGUAUCAGAAGUGCGAAUGCUGACAUAAGUAACGAUAAAGCGGGUGAAAAGCCCGCUCGCCGGAAGACCAAGGGUUCCUGUCCAACGUUAAUCGGGGCAGGGUGAGUCGACCCCUAAGGCGAGGCCGAAAGGCGUAGUCGAUGGGAAACGGGUUAAUAUUCCCGUACUUGGUGUUACUGCGAAGGGGGGACGGAGAAGGCUAUGUUGGCCGGGCGACGGUUGUCCCGGUUUAAGCGUGUAGGCUGGUUUUCCAGGCAAAUCCGGAAAAUCAAGGCUGAGGCGUGAUGACGAGGCACUACGGUGCUGAAGCAACAAAUGCCCUGCUUCCAGGAAAAGCCUCUAAGCAUCAGGUAACAUCAAAUCGUACCCCAAACCGACACAGGUGGUCAGGUAGAGAAUACCAAGGCGCUUGAGAGAACUCGGGUGAAGGAACUAGGCAAAAUGGUGCCGUAACUUCGGGAGAAGGCACGCUGACACGUAGGUGAAGUGAUUUACUCAUGGAGCUGAAGUCAGUCGAAGAUACCAGCUGGCUGCAACUGUUUAUUAAAAACACAGCACUGUGCAAACACGAAAGUGGACGUAUACGGUGUGACGCCUGCCCGGUGCCGGAAGGUUAAUUGAUGGGGUCAGCGCAAGCGAAGCUCCUGAUCGAAGCCCCGGUAAACGGCGGCCGUAACUAUAACGGUCCUAAGGUAGCGAAAUUCCUUGUCGGGUAAGUUCCGACCUGCACGAAUGGCGUAAUGAUGGCCAGGCUGUCUCCACCCGAGACUCAGUGAAAUUGAACUCGCUGUGAAGAUGCAGUGUACCCGCGGCAAGACGGAAAGACCCCGUGAACCUUUACUAUAGCUUGACACUGAACAUUGAGCCUUGAUGUGUAGGAUAGGUGGGAGGCUUUGAAG
This 1297-nucleotide ribosomal RNA is filed under the name Salmonella enterica subsp. enterica serovar Infantis. RNAcentral's name for it is "partial 23S ribosomal RNA". Lineage: Bacteria; Pseudomonadati; Pseudomonadota; Gammaproteobacteria; Enterobacterales; Enterobacteriaceae. The record is from RNAcentral.